Molecule: microRNA precursor, 91 nt
Filed under: Octodon degus (degu)
Lineage: Eukaryota; Metazoa; Chordata; Mammalia; Rodentia; Octodontidae
Description: miRNA (ENSODEG00000022377.1)
Source: RNAcentral
CUCAUAUAUAUCUACCUGUGUGCAUAAUUGCAGAUAUGUAGGCAGGAGUAUGUGUAUACAUGCACUUACAUGUCAUACACACACAUGUAUA